UCAAACUUGGUCAUUUAGAGGAAGUAAAAGUCGUAACAAGGUUUCCGUAGGUGAACCUGCGGAAGGAUCAUUACAAAUCCAUCCACGUCUCGCUCCCGAGACCACGUUGAAAUGUUCUGCGUGCAGGCACGCAUGGUGUCGUGAUCGGGGGUGAUGAAGGAGAGGAGUGGAGAAGGGGAGGUGUCAGCCGUGCCAUGCGCAUGCUGCUGCUCCUCUCUCUCUCUCUCUCUCUCUCCCCCCCCCUUCUUCCGCUCCGUGCGUGCCUCUCGCAUAUCUCAACUAGUUAUCUCUUGUUGAACGAGUGUAUUGUCGAGCAUCCUUCUUGACGGAGAGAUGUCUUAACACAAAGUACAACUUAUAACAAUGGAUCUCUAGGCUCUUGCAUCGAUGAAGAACGCAGC
This 401-nucleotide unclassified non-coding RNA is filed under the name uncultured fungus. Its description in RNAcentral is "partial contains small subunit ribosomal RNA, internal transcribed spacer 1, and 5.8S ribosomal RNA". The stretch from base 1 to 73 matches the Rfam family "Eukaryotic small subunit ribosomal RNA", at positions 1759 to 1831 of the family's 1831-position model. Lineage: Eukaryota; Fungi. The record is from RNAcentral.